Molecule: ribosomal RNA, 253 nt
Filed under: uncultured bacterium
Lineage: Bacteria
Description: partial 16S ribosomal RNA
Rfam family: Bacterial small subunit ribosomal RNA
Source: RNAcentral
UACGUAGGGGGCAAGCGUUGUCCGGAAUCAUUGGGCGUAAAGCGCGUGUAGGCGGCCAGAAAAGUCCGCUGUGAAAACUCGAGGCUCAACUUCGAGCUGUCGGUGGAAACUUUCUGGCUAGAGUCCGGAAGAGGAGAAUGGAAUUCCUGGUGUAGCGGUGAAAUGCGCAGAUAUCAGGAAGAACACCGAUGGCGAAAGCAGCUCUCUGGGACGGUACUGACGCUGAGGCGCGAAAGCGUGGGGAGCGAACAGG